Molecule: long non-coding RNA, 1361 nt
Filed under: Vulpes vulpes (red fox)
Lineage: Eukaryota; Metazoa; Chordata; Mammalia; Carnivora; Canidae
Description: lncRNA (ENSVVUG00000015261.1)
Source: RNAcentral
CUCGCGCCCCCUUCCCCGCCCCGCGUUGGCCUCCAACAGGAAGUCGUCCCGGCCCCUGCCACGUGACCCCGCCGCAUCUGCAUACCGGAGGGCGAGCCGGCCAAUCGGCGCCCUGCACCCGAGCUCCGCCCCCGCGCGCCCCUCCCCGGCCCAUUGGUUCGUCCCGGGCAGGCCACGCCCCGUCCUUCCCCCUUAAUACCCGCUCGCGUUGUGGUUCCGCAGACUGCGCGGGGAGCGCGCCGGGGUGCGAGCGGGCGGGCGCGCGCGCUCCCCCGGCCCGGGCGCGUGCAGGUCUCGGGGGCUCGGGCGACCUCCUUGCCGGUCCGUGGGCGCUGCAGCUCGGUGGAAGCGCGCUGGGCCGCGGGGCGCAACGUCCGCCCGGUUCGCUCCGCGCGCGCCCUGCGGCGCCUGGGCCCCGGGGUCGCGCGGCGUUUUGGCCCCGCGGCGCCAGCCCUCCGUGCAGCCCCGACCGGCGCCCGCCCCGACGCGCGUCCAGCCCGUGCCGUGCACACGCCCUGCACCUCCCCACCGUGCACACACUCGCACACGCGCCGACCCGGGCCCGGGAGCAUCCUGCCAGCCGCGCGCCUCCCAGCCUCCCCUUGCACGCAGCGGCUCCCGGGGGAGCGCCCUGCUGCGAACCAAACAAACCUCCCUACGCAACGGCUCCCCCGCCCCCGAGAGCGAACCGCCCUCCCCCACCACGCGGGCCCCGGGCCCGGGGGCGGGAGGGACCCAGACGCUCCGGCGCUCGGUACCCAGUGCUGGUCCGCCAUCCCGCCGCUGCUCGUCGGUGCACAGUCGUCAUGAGCCGUAGGGUCGUGGGGGCAGGCCAGCUUUCCCCUUGGCGCGGUGGAAGGAAGCUCAGCGGGGCUACUUGAAAGUUGCUGGAGCCGCAGGAGGCCGUUCCCUGUCUACGUGUCCCCAUCUUGCAGAGCAGAUAAUGACACACUACUUUCGCAAUGCAAUUUUGUUACCGCAAGUGUCAGGCUUUGAGAGUUUGAGGAUGAAAGAGACACAAGAAAUUCCCCGCUCUGGUUUCCCAUCAGGGUCUCAUGAGCUCGGUGCUCUCCCUUCUCCUUUACUGCCGUAUCGUGAAGCCCUCCGGUAGCCAGAUGCACAAACCACUCUGCAAAGUCGUCUUCAAAUGUCUGUUGUGUGUUUCCCCUUCCCCAAAACCCCAUGUCACGUAGAAGGAUCUGAAGUCAGAUUUUAUUUACAUUAAUUCUUGACUGCGGAGAAACCUGCAUUUUUUUUCCCUUUUUAUUUUAUUUUAUUUUUUUUUGCAUUUCUCAAAAAUAGACAUAUUAUCACAUGCUUCAGGAGGGAGUGCAAAAUAAAUAACAUCUUCAAAAUAAGCA